RNAcentral lists this ribosomal RNA (206 nucleotides) under uncultured bacterium. RNAcentral's name for it is "partial 16S ribosomal RNA". It matches the Rfam family "Bacterial small subunit ribosomal RNA", at positions 568 to 774 of the family's 1533-position model. The record is from RNAcentral.
UGUGCAGGCGGGGUCUCAAGUGGUGUAUGAAAUCGCUCGGCUCAACCGGGCGCGGUUAUGCCAGACUGAGGCUCUGGAGUGCGGGAGAGGGGCGUGGAAUUCCGGGUGUAGUGGUGAAAUGCGUAGAGAUCCGGAGGAACCCCAGAGGCGAAGGCGGCGCCCUGGCCCGACACUGACGCUCAGACACGACAGCAUGGGAGCGAACG